RNAcentral lists this ribosomal RNA (559 nucleotides) under uncultured bacterium. Its description in RNAcentral is "bacterial SSU rRNA". It matches the Rfam family "Bacterial small subunit ribosomal RNA", at positions 8 to 611 of the family's 1533-position model. The record is from RNAcentral.
AGAGUUUGAUCAUGGCUCAGGAUGAACGCUGGCGGUAUGCUUAACACAUGCAAGUCGAACGGAGUAGCAAUACUUAGUGGCGGACGGGUGAGUAACGCGUAAGAAUCUAGCUUCAGGUUCGGGACAACAGUUGGAAACGACUGCUAAUACCGGAUGUGCCUACGGGUGAAAGGCUUGCUGCCUGGAGAAGAGCUUGCGUCCGAUUAGCUAGUUGGUGAGGUAAAGGCUUACCAAGGCGUCGAUCGGUAGCUGGUCUGAGAGGAUGACCAGCCACACUGGGACUGAGACAAGGCCCAGACUCCUACGGGAGGCAGCAGUGGGGAAUUUUCCGCAAUGGGCGAAAGCCUGACGGAGCAAUACCGCGUGAGGGAAGAAGGCUCUUGGGUUGUAAACCUCUUUUCUCAGGGAAUAAAAAAAUGAAGGUACCUGAGGAAUAAGCAUCGGCUAACUCCGUGCCAGCAGCCGCGGUAAUACGGAGGAUGCAAGCGUUAUCCGGAAUGAUUGGGCGUAAAGCGUCCGCAGGUGGUACAACAAGUCUAGUGUCAAAGACCGGGGCUCA